GGCUGGGUGGCUUAGUUGGUUGGAGCAUUGUCCUGUACACUGAAAGGCUAUGGGUUCGAUUCCCAGUCCAGGCA
Molecule: transfer RNA, 74 nt
Filed under: Myotis brandtii (Brandt's bat)
Lineage: Eukaryota; Metazoa; Chordata; Mammalia; Chiroptera; Vespertilionidae
Rfam family: tRNA
About the family: Transfer RNA (tRNA) molecules are approximately 80 nucleotides in length. Their secondary structure includes four short double-helical elements and three loops (D, anti-codon, and T loops). Further hydrogen bonds mediate the characteristic L-shaped molecular structure. tRNAs have two regions of fundamental functional importance: the anti-codon, which is responsible for specific mRNA codon recognition, and the 3' end, to which the tRNAs corresponding amino acid is attached (by aminoacyl-tRNA synthetases). tRNAs cope with the degeneracy of the genetic code in two manners: having more than one tRNA (with a specific anti-codon) for a particular amino acid; and 'wobble' base-pairing, i.e. permitting non-standard base-pairing at the 3rd anti-codon position.
Source: Rfam by way of RNAcentral